GGAUUAGAUACCCUGGUAGUCCACGCCGUAAACGAUGAGUGCUAGAUUUCGGAAACUUAGUUUUCGGUUUCGAAGUUAACACGUUAAGCACUCCGCCUGGAGACUACGAUCGCAAGAUUAAAACUCAAAGGAAUUGACGGGGGCUCGCACAAGUGGUGGAGCAUGCGGCUUAAUUCGAUGCUACGCGAAAAACCUUACCAACCCUUGACAUGGUGGUCGUGGAUCUAGAGAUAGAUCUUUCAGUUCGGCUGGACCACACACAGGUGUUGCACGGCUGUCGUCAGCUCGUGCUG
RNAcentral lists this ribosomal RNA (293 nucleotides) under uncultured bacterium. Its description in RNAcentral is "partial 16S ribosomal RNA". It matches the Rfam family "Bacterial small subunit ribosomal RNA", at positions 775 to 1067 of the family's 1533-position model. The record is from RNAcentral.